GAAUAUUGCACAAUGGGCGAAAGCCUGAUGCAGCGACGCCGCGUGGGGGAUGAAGGCCUUCGGGUUGUAAACCCCUUUCAGCAGGGAAGAAGCGAAAGUGACGGUACCUGCAGAAGAAGCGCCGGCUAACUACGUGCCAGCAGCCGCGGUAAUACGUAGGGCGCAAGCGUUGUCCGGAAUUAUUGGGCGUAAAGAGCUCGUAGGCGGUCUGUCGCGUCUGCUGUGAAAACCCGAGGCUCAACCUCGGGCCUGCAGUGGGUACGGGCAGACUAGAGUGCGGUAGGGGAGACUGGAAUUCCUGGUGUAGCGGUGGAAUGCGCAGAUAUCAGGAGGAACACCGAUGGCGAAGGCAGGUCUCUGGGCCGCAACUGACGCUGAGGAGCGAAAGCAUGGGGAGCGAACAGG
This 405-nucleotide ribosomal RNA is filed under the name uncultured bacterium. RNAcentral's name for it is "bacterial SSU rRNA". It matches the Rfam family "Bacterial small subunit ribosomal RNA", at positions 359 to 776 of the family's 1533-position model. The record is from RNAcentral.